GAGACAAGAAGGAACAUUCUACAUUAUUCUAGAAGGAAUUGCCACACUAGGAACAGAGCAAUGCUGAGCUGCUUGUCUCUUUAUACGUGGAAAUGGUGAGGGAAACUGAGCCUGAAGUGUGUGCGUGCUCCAGUGCCUUCUUAGACAUGCAGAAUGAUGGGCAGUCUCUGCUUGAAGACUUCAAGAGUGCAUGUGCAUGCAGAAACCAGAGAUGUCAUCUGCAGAAACACCGUUCACCUUCAUUGAGACAGAGUCUCUCAUUGUCCUGGAGCUGCCAAUUAGUCUCAACUGCAGCCAGCAAGCCCCAGAGCUUCUCCUGUUUCUGCCUCCCUAGCACUGGGGUUAAAAGUGCAGACCACCACUCUGCACCUUUAUUUACAUGGGUCCUUGGGAUCAAGUUUAGGUCCUUCAGGCUCCAGAGGCAGGUGCAUUACCCACUGUUGUGCAUGGGCCUGAUGCUGAUCUUGUGACCCAUCCCCUAAUGAAUAAAGGAGCCAAUCACUGGGCAAGUAGGAGGGACUUCCAGGUUGGACUGAGGAAGAGAGGAAGCAGGAGAGAGUUUGGGUUUUUUUGGUUUUUUUUUUUUGGACGAGGGUAGCCUGAGAACAGGAUGUAGCUACGGGUCUCCCAGUUUCAAUGGCGGAUCCUUUAGGGUUCGCCAUCAGAGGAUUUAGAUUUAACAAGGCUUACAAGAUUGAGAUUUUAGUUGCUGUGCCCAGUGAUUGAGUUACCUUCAUUUCUGAGCUAAGUUUGUGUUGUGUUUUCCUUCACGCAGCGGCUCGUCUGGAUUCAAGAAAGAAAGGUAUGGUGGCAAAGCGUGGGUUUGCCUGAGGUGCACCACAAAGGCCGUGGGGGAAUUUGAAGCAUGUGGUUGGCGUGGUAACAACUUGACAAUGGGAACCUAGCAAGUUGGGUGGAGAGAUUGUGGAGUUCUGAGUCAGAGUCUCCACAAGAUAAAAGGAGGUCAGCCAUUCCCCGCCAGUG
Mus musculus (house mouse) is the source of this 984-nucleotide long non-coding RNA. RefSeq annotates it as predicted gene, 26849. The transcript has 3 exons. The record is from RefSeq and is a predicted model, not a curated record. Lineage: Eukaryota; Metazoa; Chordata; Mammalia; Rodentia; Muridae.